This is an RNA transcript of Dermochelys coriacea (leatherback sea turtle), 4146 nucleotides long. It is a transcript of the gene named potassium voltage-gated channel subfamily A member 5-like, with no coding region annotated. NCBI's taxonomy places the organism in Eukaryota, Metazoa, Chordata, Testudines, Dermochelyidae. The transcript is spliced from 4 exons. The record is from RefSeq and is a predicted model, not a curated record.
CGGAGGGAUGCUGCAGCCUGGUAACCGGGGAGGCUGCCGGUUGUUUGCCUCGGGGGGCGCGGGGAAGCAGGGAUCCUCUUUGACGUCAAGCCUAAUGCUCGCUCGUUCAUAUCCGGGUCCCCGCGCGGUUCCCCGGGGCUCGGCUGGGCUGCCUUUCGCGGCGCAGGAGGCGGCGGCCGGGGGCCGCCCGGAGCUGGCCGGCUCGGAGGGAGGGGAGCGCAGCAUGCCCGCCGCCUCCCCUGCGCCCCCCGCCCGCCGCUGCCCAUGGAGAUCGCGCUGGUGACUUUGGAGAACGGAGGCGCCACGGCCAUCGCGGGAGCGGGCGAGGAUGCGGGAGGCGGCCGGGCGCGGCGGCGGGGGGACCUGCUCCUCGUCCCCAACUCCGCCGCCCCCGCCUGGCUGAACGGCUGCCGCGGCGCCCCGGAGCAGGAGCAGGAGCAGGAGCAGCCGCGGGCGGGCAGCGGCGGCUGCCGAAGCAGGAGCGACCGCGCCGGCAGCGCCAGCCGGAGGGUGCCCGCUGCCCGGGGCGCCUCGCCGCCGCCGGCUCCCGCCGAGCCGCCGCGCCCCUACCCGGGCGGGGGCCAGGAGGAGGCGAUGGUGCUGCCGGAGGAAGGCGGGCACCGCUUGGGCAUGGGCAUGGCCGCGGCGGCCGAGGAGGAGGAGGAGGAGGAGAAGAGCCAGCGCGCCCUGCACCACCAGCGGGUGCUGAUCAACAUCUCCGGGCUGCGCUUCGAGACGCAGCUGGGCACCCUCAACCAGUUCCCGGACACGCUGCUGGGCGACCCGGACAAGCGCAUGCGGUACUUCGACCCGCUGCGCAACGAGUACUUCUUCGACCGGAACCGGCCCAGCUUCGACGGGAUCCUCUACUUCUACCAGUCCGGGGGCAAGCUGCGCCGGCCGGUCAACGUCUCCAUCGACGUCUUCGCCGACGAGAUCCGCUUCUACCAGCUGGGCGAGGAGGCCAUGGAGCGGUUCCGGGAGGACGAGGGCUUCAUCCAGGAGGAGGAGAAGCCCCUGCCCCGCAACGACUUCCAGCGCCAGGUGUGGCUCAUCUUCGAGUACCCGGAGAGCUCCAGCUCCGCCCGGGGCAUCGCCAUCGUCUCGGUGCUGGUGAUCCUCAUCUCCAUCAUCACCUUCUGCCUGGAGACCCUGCCCGAGUUCCGGGACGAGCGGGAGCUGCAGGCCCCCCAGCCCCCGCACGGGGCAGCCCUGAACGGCACCGCCGGGGAGGCCCCCCCGAUGCAGCCCCCCAGCAGCCUGUCCGACCCCUUCUUCAUCAUCGAGACCACCUGCGUGAUCUGGUUCACCUUCGAGCUGCUGGUGCGCUUCUUCGCCUGCCCCAGCAAGCCCGAGUUCUCCAGGAACAUCAUGAACAUCAUCGACAUCGUGGCCAUCAUCCCCUACUUCAUCACCCUGGGCACCGAGCUGGCUCAGGAGCAGCAGGAGCCCGGGGCCCCCAGCACCGCCAGCAACAACAACGGGGGCCAGCAGCAAGCCAUGUCCCUGGCCAUCCUCAGGGUCAUCCGCCUGGUCAGGGUCUUCAGGAUCUUCAAGCUCUCCAGACACUCCAAGGGGCUGCAGAUCCUGGGGCAGACUUUGAAAGCCAGCAUGCGGGAGCUGGGGCUCCUCAUCUUCUUCCUUUUCAUCGGGGUGAUCCUCUUCUCCAGCGCCGUGUACUUUGCCGAGGCGGACGACCCAGACUCCCAUUUCUCCAGCAUCCCCGACGCUUUCUGGUGGGCUGUGGUGACCAUGACCACGGUGGGCUAUGGGGACAUGAGGCCUGUCACCGUAGGGGGCAAGAUCGUGGGCUCCUUGUGUGCCAUCGCUGGCGUGCUGACCAUAGCCCUGCCCGUACCUGUCAUCGUGUCCAACUUCAACUACUUCUACCACCGAGGAACUGACAACGAAGAGCAGCAGUCUGUUCUCAAGGAGGAACCCAGCAGCGCUCAGGGCAGCUCAGCUGUGGGGGAGCUGAAGAGAAGUCGCAGUAAAAACUCUCUGAACAAAUCUGUUGUGCACUUGGAAAACAGUGAGGGGAUCAACAACGGCACUGGAUCCUUAGAGAAAACCAAUAUCAAAGCUAAAAGCAACCUAGAUCUUAGAAAAUCCCUCUAUGCACUCUGUCUGGACACCAAUAGGGAAACAGACCUCAAAACCGUCACAAGGCUCUGGAUUUUACAGUUUCAAUCUUCCUAAAUGACAAUGAGAGAUCAUCUUCAUUUUGAUGACAUGGCACUGUGCAGCUACCUUAGUGAACAGUGAAAUGAAGUUGAUUCGUUACUUCAAAUCGAAACGCUACAUUAUCAUUUCUGUUGCAAAGCGCUUACAAUUUUUUUUUUUUUUUUUGCAAACUCCUGUUGCACUGCUGAAGGAUGUUUCAUGCCUUUACCAUAGCAAGAUUAGCAGGUCAUGGAAGAGAAGUCUUGAUUGUCAACGCUCAAGAGUGACCUGGAGCAGAGCCAGUGGUGCUGUUUUUGAGAAGGCUUCCCGGGGCAUAGCAGUCCACAGCACACCCAAUGAGACACAGUACUGGGAUGGAAAUUCCAGUCUGGGGAGGGUGUGAGUCAUGAGUUGAGGCUGCUUGAGAAGCUAUUUAGGGCAUCUUUUUUUAUAAUGUUUUUAACUGAUCUUGUGUUGCUUUUUUAAUUUAUACUUACACCUAUGUAGCUCAUCAUUUUUUUUGUAUAUUACAUAUUUUUAUUUCAAAAUUUGUAAAAAAAAUAUUUUUUAAUUUAUAUUUAUGCAAGAAAAAGGAAGUCAUAGUAAUUGUGGUUUGACAUCUUCGGCAACAAAUUUUAUUCGCUACUCAGUGGCCACUGUUUUGGUUAAAACACCAUUUCAUUAAUCAUAUCUGUAAACCCAAUAGGGUGCUGAAGGUAACUCCCUGGGAGAGGACAUUUAUGGUCCAAAUUUUCAGAAAGGGAGGUUGGAAGUAGGAAAAUACACAACUGCCCUUGAAGUCAAUGGAAAUCUGUCCAUUGUAAAUGGUCAUUUGGCCAAGCUAACUGGUGAUUUGCAUACGCAAAUACCUGAUUUGCAGAGAUAGAUGUAUUAGUUGCAUGCACGAAUGUAAGCAUGUAAUUGAGCAUACAGUCCUGCAAGUAGAUCUACCUACUUUUCUGAAAAUGUUACCCUAAAAAUCUAACUUACGAGUGUAGCGGAGAAAAGUAAUUUCUUUCUUCUGUGAAAUCUGUCUAUGCAACUGUACUGAAUUAGAAGAAUUGUCCAACAGGAAAGUCAGGAAUGGUUUCCGGAGGCACUCAUACAUUACUGGUUUACUCUAAAAAGUAAGGAAAAUAAUGGAACAUUGUAAUCUGUGUGUCUGCCACUUCUGAUCUAAGCCAUAUGUCUGUGUUUGGUAUGUAUCCUAAAGACUGCACCUGCAGUUGCUUGGUAGAGGACUGGCUGCCUUUCUCCUGGUGUCACGCUGCAGUAAAAGGACAUUGGGAAGAAAUUCAGAGAUUGGAACUAACACAGGUAGCCAGAUUCCUUUGCUCCCUGUUCCCAUACCUUCUUGGGAUAUGAAACUCUAUUGAAAGCCUUUCCCUUGAUUUGGAGUUGCCCAGCUUCUUCUCCACUGUCUCCCCACCCCCCUCACAUGGAUGUGUUCCCAUCGGUUGGAUUCCUCAAUCUGGAUGUUUAGAAAUCUGUUCUUUUGGGGGUUUUCUCUUACAGAGAAACUGUUCUCCAUUCAGAGCCCAGUUUUGAACUUGUUCUCAGACACAGCGAAACACAUCAGUGACUCUGCUGUUUUGAAUUUUGUAUGGAAAUACGUAAAUGAUCAAUUCUAAUUCUUUGUUUUCCUUCCACUAGUGCUGUUCUUUGUCAAAGUCUCUCAUAGUUUAGGGAGAUUAUUAAAGUACCAUUUAUUUCUGUCUUUUUUGACAUUCAUUUUCUUUUAUUUCUUUUGUAUUUUUAAGAUGUGAAGUCUCCGGGGUUAAUAUUUCAAAUCUUAGCAUCAAAGUGCUGUGCAUACAGGUCUAUUACACACCUGAAGGUUAGUCUUCGUUUUUAUGUGACUUUGACUUGAACACUUUUCCAUUUCUCUUUCUGUUAAUAUUGCUAUUUGGGAAAUGUGCACUGCCUGUAUUCUUUCUGUCUUUUGCCCCAUCUUUUAAUUCAAUAAAAAAAAUGUUUUCCUCA